AGCGUACACGGUGGAUGCCCUGGCAGUCAGAGGCGAUGAAGGACGUGCUAAUCUGCGAUAAGCGUCGGUAAGGUGAUAUGAACCGUUAUAACCGGCGAUUUCCGAAUGGGGAAACCCAGUGUGAUUCGUCACACUAUCAUUAACUGAAUCCAUAGGUUAAUGAGGCGAACCGGGGGAACUGAAACAUCUAAGUACCCCGAGGAAAAGAAAUCAACCGAGAUUCCCCCAGUAGCGGCGAGCGAACGGGGAGGAGCCCAGAGCCUGAAUCAGUGUGUGUGUUAGUGGAAGCGUCUGGAAAGGCGCGCGAUACAGGGUGACAGCCCCGUACACAAAAAUGCACAUGCUGUGAGCUCGAUGAGUAGGGCGGGACACGUGGUAUCCUGUCUGAAUAUGGGGGGACCAUCCUCCAAGGCUAAAUACUCCUGACUGACCGAUAGUGAACCAGUACCGUGAGGGAAAGGCGAAAAGAACCCCGGCGAGGGGAGUGAAAAAGAACCUGAAACCGUGUACGUACAAGCAGUGGGAGCACGCUUCGGCGUGUGACUGCGUACCUUUUGUAUAAUGGGUCAGCGACUUAUAUUCUGUAGCAAGGUUAACCGAAUAGGGGAGCCGAAGGGAAACCGAGUCUUAACUGGGCGUUAAGUUGCAGGGUAUAGACCCGAAACCCGGUGAUCUAGCCAUGGGCAGGUUGAAGGUUGGGUAACACUAACUGGAGGACCGAACCGACUAAUGUUGAAAAAUUAGCGGAUGACUUGUGGCUGGGGGUGAAAGGCCAAUCAAACCGGGAGAUAGCUGGUUCUCCCCGAAAGCUAUUUAGGUAGCGCCUCGUGAAUUCAUCUCCGGGGGUAGAGCACUGUUUCGGCAAGGGGGUCAUCCCGACUUACCAACCCGAUGCAAACUGCGAAUACCGGAGAAUGUUAUCACGGGAGACACACGGCGGGUGCUAACGUCCGUCGUGAAGAGGGAAACAACCCAGACCGCCAGCUAAGGUCCCAAAGUCAUGGUUAAGUGGGAAACGAUGUGGGAAGGCCCAGACAGCCAGGAUGUUGGCUUAGAAGCAGCCAUCAUUUAAAGAAAGCGUAAUAGCUCACUGGUCGAGUCGGCCUGCGCGGAAGAUGUAACGGGGCUAAACCAUGCACCGAAGCUGCGGCAGCGACACUAUGUGUUGUUGGGUAGGGGAGCGUUCUGUAAGCCUGUGAAGGUGUGCUGUGAGGCAUGCUGGAGGUAUCAGAAGUGCGAAUGCUGACAUAAGUAACGAUAAAGCGGGUGAAAAGCCCGCUCGCCGGAAGACCAAGGGUUCCUGUCCAACGUUAAUCGGGGCAGGGUGAGUCGACCCCUAAGGCGAGGCCGAAAGGCGUAGUCGAUGGGAAACAGGUUAAUAUUCCUGUACUUGGUGUUACUGCGAAGGGGGGACGGAGAAGGCUAUGUUGGCCGGGCGACGGUUGUCCCGGUUUAAGCGUGUAGGCUGGUUUUCCAGGCAAAUCCGGAAAAUCAAGGCUGAGGCGUGAUGACGAGGCACUACGGUGCUGAAGCAACAAAUGCCCUGCUUCCAGGAAAAGCCUCUAAGCAUCAGGUAACAUCAAAUCGUACCCCAAACCGACACAGGUGGUCAGGUAGAGAAUACCAAGGCGCUUGAGAGAACUCGGGUGAAGGAACUAGGCAAAAUGGUGCCGUAACUUCGGGAGAAGGCACGCUGAUAUGUAGGUGAAGUCCCUCGCGGAUGGAGCUGAAAUCAGUCGAAGAUACCAGCUGGCUGCAACUGUUUAUUAAAAACACAGCACUGUGCAAACACGAAAGUGGACGUAUACGGUGUGACGCCUGCCCGGUGCCGGAAGGUUAAUUGAUGGGGUUAGCGGUAACGCGAAGCUCUUGAUCGAAGCCCCGGUAAACGGCGGCCGUAACUAUAACGGUCCUAAGGUAGCGAAAUUCCUUGUCGGGUAAGUUCCGACCUGCACGAAUGGCGUAAUGAUGGCCAGGCUGUCUCCACCCGAGACUCAGUGAAAUUGAACUCGCUGUGAAGAUGCAGUGUACCCGCGGCAAGACGGAAAGACCCCGUGAACCUUUACUAUAGCUUGACACUGAACAUUGAGCCUUGAUGUGUAGGAUAGGUGGGAGGCUUUGAAGUGUGGACGCCAGUCUGCAUGGAGCCGACCUUGAAAUACCACCCUUUAAUGUUUGAUGUUCUAACGUUGGCCCCUGAUCGGGGUUGCGGACAGUGUCUGGUGGGUAGUUUGACUGGGGCGGUCUCCUCCUAAAGAGUAACGGAGGAGCACGAAGGUUGGCUAAUCCUGGUCGGACAUCAGGAGGUUAGUGCAAUGGCAUAAGCCAGCUUGACUGCGAGCGUGACGGCGCGAGCAGGUGCGAAAGCAGGUCAUAGUGAUCCGGUGGUUCUGAAUGGAAGGGCCAUCGCUCAACGGAUAAAAGGUACUCCGGGGAUAACAGGCUGAUACCGCCCAAGAGUUCAUAUCGACGGCGGUGUUUGGCACCUCGAUGUCGGCUCAUCACAUCCUGGGGCUGAAGUAGGUCCCAAGGGUAUGGCUGUUCGCCAUUUAAAGUGGUACGCGAGCUGGGUUUAGAACGUCGUGAGACAGUUCGGUCCCUAUCUGCCGUGGGCGCUGGAGAACUGAGGGGGGCUGCUCCUAGUACGAGAGGACCGGAGUGGACGCAUCACUGGUGUUCGGGUUGUCAUGCCAAUGGCACUGCCCGGUAGCUAAAUGCGGAAGAGAUAAGUGCUGAAAGCAUCUAAGCACGAAACUUGCCCCGAGAUGAGUUCUCCCUGACUCCUUGA
This 2788-nucleotide ribosomal RNA is filed under the name Escherichia coli. RNAcentral describes it as "bacterial LSU rRNA". It matches the Rfam family "Bacterial large subunit ribosomal RNA". The record is from RNAcentral. Lineage: Bacteria; Pseudomonadati; Pseudomonadota; Gammaproteobacteria; Enterobacterales; Enterobacteriaceae.